Molecule: transfer RNA, 71 nt
Filed under: Heterololigo bleekeri (Bleeker's squid)
Lineage: Eukaryota; Metazoa; Mollusca; Cephalopoda; Myopsida; Loliginidae
Description: tdbR00000400
Source: RNAcentral
AAAGGUAAUUAGGAAUAAAAUAAAGCUGCUAACUUUAUUUUGAGCAACUCAAAACUGUUCUACCUUUUCCA